RNAcentral lists this unclassified non-coding RNA (253 nucleotides) under uncultured Gaiellales bacterium. RNAcentral describes it as "contains 16S-23S intergenic spacer region". It matches the Rfam family "Bacterial small subunit ribosomal RNA", at positions 524 to 776 of the family's 1533-position model. The record is from RNAcentral. Lineage: Bacteria; Bacillati; Actinomycetota; Thermoleophilia; Gaiellales.
UACGUAGGGGGCCAGCGUUGUCCGGAUUUAUUGGGCGUAAAGCGCGUGUAGGCGGCCAGGUAGGUCCGACGUGAAAACUGGAGGCUCAACCUCCAGCUGUCGUUGGAAACCAUCUGGCUAGAGUCCGGAAGAGGAGAGUGGAAUUCCUGGUGUAGCGGUGAAAUGCGCAGAUAUCAGGAAGAACACCAAUGGCGAAGGCAGCUCUCUGGGACGGUACUGACGCUGAGACGCGAAAGCGUGGGGAGCGAACAGG